RNAcentral lists this ribosomal RNA (1824 nucleotides) under Triticum aestivum (bread wheat). RNAcentral describes it as "partial small subunit ribosomal RNA". The record is from RNAcentral. Lineage: Eukaryota; Viridiplantae; Streptophyta; Magnoliopsida; Poales; Poaceae.
AUGGCUGCUCCGGGCACUGCUGCGGAGGUGGAGGUGGAUGUGGGAGGUGGGGCGCUGGAGAGGGGCGCCGGCGGCGGUGGCGACAGGAGGAAGCCGCAGGGGUGGAAGUGCAUGCCCUUCAUCUUAGCAAUCGCUACAUUUGAGAAUGUCGGGUCACUUGGCAUGGUAGCAAAUUUGGCGCUCUAUCUUGUGAAGCGCUUCAAUUUUGGGCAGCUCACAGCAAUAAACACUACCAACAUUUUCUUCGGCACGCUGAACUUCACACCGUUGCUAGGUGCCUUCAUCUCCGACGCCUACUUGGGAAGGUUCAGAACCCUUGCCUACGGGUCCUUCUUUAGCCUCCUGGGAAUGCUAGGAUUGACUUUGUCUGCAUCAGUUCCAGCUUUCAAACUAGCAGACUGCAAUCAAACAGUUCAACUAGGUGAACAUUGCAAUAGUCCAUCAACACUCCAGCUUAGUGUGCUAUACCUAUCUUUAGCAUUUCUAAUCAUUGGCGGUGGAGCAAUCCGACCAUGCAGCUUACCCUUUGGAGUAGACCAAUUCGACAUGACUGAUAGAAAUAGUCAAAAAGGCCUAAAUAGCUAUUAUAACUGGUACUAUGGCACAACUAAUAUUGCCUUGGUGUUUUCUAUGACUAUUCUCGUCUACAUUCAGGCUACCAUCAGCUGGCCAAUAGGAUUUGGCAUACCAACGUUCUUCAUGUUGUUGUCAAUUAUCAUUUUAUUUAUGGGUACUAGACUUUAUGUCCAUGUACCACCAGAGGGAAGCAUCUACACUGGAAUUGCCCAAGUUUUACUAGCAUCAUUUAAAAAGAGAAGACUCAAGCUUCCAAACUCGAAUGAUAUAAGUCAGCAAGAGUUGUUGCUAUUCAGCCCUCCCACGAGGGGCCAUCGUAUUUUCAGAUUGCCACUUACUUCCCAGUUCAGGUUUCUUAACAAAGGUGCGAUUUUAAGGGAUGGUGAUAUAAAUGACGAUGGUUCCGCAAGAAAUUCAUGGGAGCUUUGUAGUAUCCAACAGAUAGAAGAAGUUAAAUGUUUGAUAAGAAUUUUUCCUAUUUGUAUAUCUGGCAUCGUAUGCUUCAUCGCAUUGGUUCAACAAUACACCUCUGCAAGCUUUCAAGCAUUAACAAUGGACUGUCACCUUGGAACACAUUUUGAAAUCCCUGCAGGCUCUGUUAUAUCCAUAUCCUUUAUCGCCCUAACUGCAUUCCUGCCGAUUUAUGGCCGAAUAUUGGUACCUAUAGCUAGAAGAUUCACCGGAGUGGAAAGUGGAAUUACAGUUCUUCAGAGACAAGGUAUAGGAUUGGUGAUUUCUCCCAUAUCAAUGGUGGUAGCAGGGCUUGUUGAACACAAAAGGAGAAACUCAGCAUUGUCUAAUGGAGGAAAAUCACCUAUGUCAGUCUUUUGGCUUGCCCCCCAAUUGAUUUUAAUGGGUAUUGCUGAUGCCUUCAAUGCAGUUGGACAAUUAGAAUUCUAUAAUAAGCAGUUUCCAGAGCAGAUGCUAACCCUAGCAGGAUCCCUCUUUUACGUUACUUUAGCUGGAGCAGGCUAUUUGAGUACCGCUAUGACAAACAUCACAAACAAAGUGACUACGAGAGAUGCCCACAGAGGCUGGAUCGCAGACGAUAUUAAUCUCGGCAAGCUUGACUAUUACUUUUAUUUAAUUGCCCUCGUGGGAGUACUGAACCUUUUCUACUUCCUCAUAUGCUCCCACUACUAUCAAUACAAAUCCAUUUCACACUAUGCUGAGGAACCCAUCAAAAUACAGACCAAGGAAGAGGCAGAAGCAGAGAUGGACCCCAGUAGAGAUGCACCUCACAAGUAA